CGCACCCCCAUGUUCCCCCGCGAAGGCGGGGGCCCAGACUGGACCCCCGCCUUCGCGGGGGAACAUGCGUCCUGG
This 75-nucleotide small RNA is filed under the name Sphingomonas aerolata. Its description in RNAcentral is "microRNA MIR1846". Lineage: Bacteria; Pseudomonadati; Pseudomonadota; Alphaproteobacteria; Sphingomonadales; Sphingomonadaceae. The record is from RNAcentral.